CGCGUGGGAAUCUACCUUUUGCUACGGAAUAACGCAGGGAAACUUGUGCUAAUACCGUAUGUGUCCUUCGGGAGAAAGAUUUAUCGGCAAGAGAUGAGCCCGCGUUGGAUUAGCUAGUUGGUGGGGUAAAGGCCUACCAAGGCGACGAUCCAUAGCUGGUCUGAGAGGAUGAUCAGCCACAUUGGGACUGAGACACGGCCCAAACUCCUACGGGAGGCAGCAGUGGGGAAUAUUGGACAAUGGGCGCAAGCCUGAUCCAGCCAUGCCGCGUGAGUGAUGAAGGCCCUAGGGUUGUAAAGCUCUUUCACCGGAGAAGAUAAUGACGGUAUCCGGAGAAGAAGCCCCGGCUAACUUCGUGCCAGCAGCCGCGGUAAUACGAAGGGGGCUAGCGUUGUUCGGAAUUACUGGGCGUAAAGCGCACGUAGGCGGAUCGAUCAGUCAGGGGUGAAAUCCCAGGGCUCAACCCUGGAACUGCCUUUGAUACUGUCGAUCUGGAGUAUGGAAGAGGUGAGUGGAAUUCCGAGUGUAGAGGUGA
RNAcentral lists this ribosomal RNA (535 nucleotides) under Martinezella tropici. Its description in RNAcentral is "bacterial SSU rRNA". It matches the Rfam family "Bacterial small subunit ribosomal RNA", at positions 114 to 684 of the family's 1533-position model. The record is from RNAcentral. Lineage: Bacteria; Pseudomonadati; Pseudomonadota; Alphaproteobacteria; Hyphomicrobiales; Rhizobiaceae.